CAGUAGCCGCGGUAAUACGAAGGGGGCUAGCGUUGUUCGGAAUUACUGGGCGUAAAGCGCACGUAGGCGGAUACUUAAGUCAGGGGUGAAAUCCCGGGGCUCAACCCCGGAACUGCCUUUGAUACUGGGUAUCUCGAGUCCGGAAGAGGUGAGUGGAAUUCCGAGUGUAGAGGUGAAAUUCGUAGAUAUUCGCAGGAACACCAGUGGCGAAGGCGGCUAACUGGUCCAUAACUGACGCUGAGGUGCGAAAGCGUGGGGAGCAAACAGGAUUAGAUACCCGCGUAGUCCCUGUCUCUUAUAC
Molecule: ribosomal RNA, 301 nt
Filed under: uncultured bacterium
Lineage: Bacteria
Description: partial 16S ribosomal RNA
Rfam family: Bacterial small subunit ribosomal RNA
Source: RNAcentral